GGGUACAAAUAUUUCCGGUUUGGAAUUAGAAGAGAGUGAAGGAGAAAGGUUCUGACGGAAAUAGAAAUGCCCCUACCGGAAGUCUUUUCUUUAACAUCAGUAACUUUAUUGUUACGUAUUGUUAAAAUUAUGGACAACUGCCCUAAGUCACCUCGCCCGCCAGAGUCUUGGUGAACUCCAGCAUCUAGUGCCUUUCUUCUCACAGCUGAGUAGUCUGGGAGUUUAGUGAGAUUUUUUCAUGUUGGUGUUUCCGCCACUUAGAUCAAAACCAAUAACAGCAACUUUUCCAUCAUCCAGUAAUAUCCCUGUUUAAAAAAAACCAAUUUAUGGAAACACAAAAAAAAAUUAUGUGUAUGUGUGUUAAACCUUCUCUGUGUAUAAGUUGGUUAUCUCAGGAAUUUAUGGUAGUAAUGGAAAGACAUGUAAAGGGUAUAUUAUUCUGCCACUAAGUCAUUGCAGAGAUUUGAGCCACAAAAUAAAUGAUAAUAGUAUCGGAUUGUAAUCUAUAUAAUAAAAUAAUUACCCUUUUGUCUAUACUGAUAUAAAAACAGGGAAGAGACAACCUUCUAUCUUAGAGAAGAAUUCCAAAUCAAUAAACAUAAAAAAAAUUAGAGAAAUAGAAAAAUCAUCAUUAGGACAUCAAAAUAAUAAUUGUAGCAGACAAGAUAGACGAAUGGAUAUUAAAAUGAGUCAUCAAAAGUUUGAGGAGAAAUGGAAAUUUGCAAAACACCCAAAUGAUAUUGCCAAGUGUGUAUUAAUAGCAAGGGGAACAGUAACUUCAGAGGGAAGAAACCUGGUAAACCACCUUAACCAUGUAAUCUAAGUCAACAUCAUCAUAAAACUCCUUGACAUAACAAUUUGAAAGCAUGGUUUACCUUCUGUGGCAUUCCUACCAAAAAUGGGAAAAACUUAUUUUACUCAUGAAAAACAUCAGAUGAAUUCAAAUUGAAGGACAUCCUACAGAAUAUUGAUCAGUAUUCUUCCAAAGGUCAUGAAAGACCAGGAAAGACGAAGGAACUGUUGUUAGAUAUUGGAGGAGACUGGGGAGGCAUCCCAAUACAAUGUGGAAUCCUGGGGGAUUGGAUCCUGGGGCAGAAAAAGGAAAAUUGUGGUGAAGAUAAAUUGCAAAAUACAGAAAUUCAAAUAAGGUCUGUAGUUAGGUAAUAGUAUUGUCCCAGUGUUAAUUUCAUGUCUUUAAUUAUAUCCAUGGUUAGGUAAGAUGAUAACAUUAGGGGGAGCUGUGGGAAGGGCAUACCUGAACUCCCUGUACAACUUUUGCAACUUCUCUAAAGUCUAAAAUUCUCUUCAAAAAUUUCAUGUUGUAGAAAACGUUUAUCUUCUUGGUGAAAAAUGACUGGGUUAUGAUUAAGACAAAUGAAAUAGUGUGUGGUCCUAUUAACCAAAGUGAACACUCCCAAAGCAUUAACAGAUGGUUCUUUUUUCUUUGUUUCUUGUGUGUGUGUGUGUGUGUGUGUGUGUGUGUGUGUGUGUAUGCACACACAUUGACUUUUACACUCAAGAAUAAGUAUGUUAAUCAACUUUCCAUUACUGUAUUAAAUUCCAGAGAUAAUUAUAAAGAGAAAAGUUUUAUUCUGACUCAGUUUCAGAGGUUUCAGCCCAUAAUUACUUGGCUUGGCUGCUUUAGUGAAGAAACACAUCAUGGAGGGAGCACAUGACAAAGAAAAACCACUCGAUUCAUGGCUAGGAAGCAAAAGAAUGAAGAAGAAGGGGCCAGGAUCCCACUAUCCCCUUCAAGGUCACACCCCAGUGAUCUAAAGACCUCCCACUACGCCCAAACUCUUAAAGUUUGCAGAAACUCCUUAGUCAAAUUGCCGUUGCUGUGACAAAAUACCUGAGAUAAGCAACUUAAAAGGAGAAACGAUUGAUUAUGGGUCAUGUUUCUGAGAUUUCAAUCCAUGAUUUCUUGGCCCGUAUUGGCCUUGGGCCUAUUGCAAGGCGGCAGGCACAUCUCGGCAGAAGUACUUGGCAGAAAGGAAGGCGGGAGAGAAAGAGAUCAAAGUGCCCAGGUCCAGCUGUCUCCUUGAAGGGCAUGCCCCAGUGACCUCACUUCCUUUCACAAGGUUCCACCUCCAAAUGGCACCACAGACUGGUGACCAAGCCAUCAGCCCAUGGUAGGCUAAUCUCUACAAUCUCAGAUAUAAGAUUGAAUUCUGUAGAGACAAUACCCCAGAUAUUAUCUUUCAAGUGGUGAUGAGCUUUUCCCUGAAUCACUGGACACUAUAACAGAUACAAUUAAAGUGUUAAUUUCCUACUACAAUUCUCACAGUAUCUUUAUUCAAGUGUUGGUAAUUGUUUCAAUAAAUCAUUCGAAUUGAUACAAUAAACACUUCUAUUGCCUAUGUCCAUAAGUACAAGGUACACAUAUAUAUUCAUGAUGUGUGUGUGAGAGAGAGAAUGAGAAGAAAAUUUUACAUGGACCAUCUUCAGGAGAGGACAAAAUGAAGUCGGAGCA
Long non-coding RNA from Ictidomys tridecemlineatus (thirteen-lined ground squirrel), 2473 nucleotides. RefSeq lists it as uncharacterized. Lineage: Eukaryota; Metazoa; Chordata; Mammalia; Rodentia; Sciuridae. The record is from RefSeq and is a predicted model, not a curated record.